GAUGAACGCUGGCGGCGUGCCUAAUACAUGCAAGUCGAGCGAACAGACGAGGAGCUUGCCCCUCUGACGUUAGCGGCGGCCGGGUGAGUAACACGUGGAUAACCUACCUAUAUGACUGGGAUAACUUCGGGAAACCGGAGCUAAUACCGGUCAAUAUAUUGAACCGCAAGGUCUAUUAGUGAAAGACGGUUUUGCUGUCCUUAUUAGAUGGAUCCGCGCCGCAUUAGCUAGUUGGUAAGGUAACGGCUUACCACGGGAACGAUGCGUAGCCGACCUGAGAGGGUGAUCGGCCACACGAGAACUGAGACACGGUCCAGACUCCUACGGUAGGCAGCAGUAGGGAAUCUUCCGCAAUGGGCGAAAGCCUGACAGAGCAACGCCGCGUGAAGGAUGAAGGUCUUCGGAUCGUAAAACUCUGUUAUUAGGGAAGAACAAAUGUGUAAGUAACUAUGCACGUCUUGACGGUACCUGAGCAGAAAGCCACGGCUAACUACGUG
This 497-nucleotide ribosomal RNA is filed under the name uncultured bacterium. Its description in RNAcentral is "partial 16S ribosomal RNA". It matches the Rfam family "Bacterial small subunit ribosomal RNA", at positions 28 to 507 of the family's 1533-position model. The record is from RNAcentral.